RNAcentral lists this ribosomal RNA (253 nucleotides) under uncultured bacterium. RNAcentral's name for it is "partial 16S ribosomal RNA". It matches the Rfam family "Bacterial small subunit ribosomal RNA", at positions 524 to 776 of the family's 1533-position model. The record is from RNAcentral.
UACAGGGGGGGCAAGCGUUGUUCGGAAUUACUGGGCGUAAAGGGCUCGUAGGCGGCCAACUAAGUCACACGUGAAAUCCCCAGGCUUAACCUGGGAACUGCGUGUGAUACUGGAUGGCUUGAAUUCGGGAGAGGGAUGCAGAAUUCCAGGUGUAGCGGUGAAAUGCGUAGAUAUCUGGAGGAAUACCGGUGGCGAAGGCGGCAUCCUGGACCGACAUUGACGCUGAUGAGCGAAAGCUAGGGGAGCAAACAGG